AUUGAAGAGUUUGAUCAUGGCUCAGAUUGAACGCUGGCGGCAGGCCUAACACAUGCAAGUCGAACGGUAACAGGAAGCAGCUUGCUGCUUUGCUGACGAGUGGCGGACGGGUGAGUAAUGUCUGGGAAACUGCCUGAUGGAGGGGGAUAACUACUGGAAACGGUGGCUAAUACCGCAUAACGUCGCAAGACCAAAGAGGGGGACCUUCGGGCCUCUUGCCAUCAGAUGUGCCCAGAUGGGAUUAGCUAGUUGGUGAGGUAACGGCUCACCAAGGCGACGAUCCCUAGCUGGUCUGAGAGGAUGACCAGCCACACUGGAACUGAGACACGGUCCAGACUCCUACGGGAGGCAGCAGUGGGGAAUAUUGCACAAUGGGCGCAAGCCUGAUGCAGCCAUGCCGCGUGUAUGAAGAAGGCCUUCGGGUUGUAAAGUACUUUCAGCGGGGAGGAAGGUGUUGUGGUUAAUAACCGCAGCAAUUGACGUUACCCGCAGAAGAAGCACCGGCUAACUCCGUGCCAGCAGCCGCGGUAAUACGGAGGGUGCAAGCGUUAAUCGGAAUUACUGGGCGUAAAGCGCACGCAGGCGGUCUGUCAAGUCGGAUGUGAAAUCCCCGGGCUCAACCUGGGAACUGCAUUCGAAACUGGCAGGCUUGAGUCUUGUAGAGGGGGGUAGAAUUCCAGGUGUAGCGGUGAAAUGCGUAGAGAUCUGGAGGAAUACCGGUGGCGAAGGCGGCCCCCUGGACAAAGACUGACGCUCAGGUGCGAAAGCGUGGGGAGCAAACAGGAUUAGAUACCCUGGUAGUCCACGCCGUAAACGAUGUCUACUUGGAGGUUGUGCCCUUGAGGCGUGGCUUCCGGAGCUAACGCGUUAAGUAGACCGCCUGGGGAGUACGGCCGCAAGGUUAAAACUCAAAUGAAUUGACGGGGGCCCGCACAAGCGGUGGAGCAUGUGGUUUAAUUCGAUGCAACGCGAAGAACCUUACCUGGUCUUGACAUCCACGGAAGAAUUCAGAGAUGGAUUUGUGCCUUCGGGAACCGUGAGACAGGUGCUGCAUGGCUGUCGUCAGCUCGUGUUGUGAAAUGUUGGGUUAAGUCCCGCAACGAGCGCAACCCUUAUCCUUUGUUGCCAGCGGUCCGGCCGGGAACUCAAAGGAGACUGCCAGUGAUAAACUGGAGGAAGGUGGGGAUGACGUCAAGUCAUCAUGGCCCUUACGACCAGGGCUACACACGUGCUACAAUGGCGCAUACAAAGAGAAGCGACCUCGCGAGAGCAAGCGGACCUCAUAAAGUGCGUCGUAGUCCGGAUUGGAGUCUGCAACUCGACUCCAUGAAGUCGGAAUCGCUAGUAAUCGUGGAUCAGAAUGCCACGGUGAAUACGUUCCCGGGCCUUGUACACACCGCCCGUCACACCAUGGGAGUGGGUUGCAAAAGAAGUAGGUAGCUUAACCUUCGGGAGGGCGCUUACCACUUUGUGAUUCAUGACUGGGGUGAAGUCGUAACAAGGUAACCGUAGGGGAACCUGCGGUUGGAUCACCUCCUU
This 1539-nucleotide ribosomal RNA is filed under the name Salmonella enterica. RNAcentral describes it as "bacterial SSU rRNA". It matches the Rfam family "Bacterial small subunit ribosomal RNA". The record is from RNAcentral. Lineage: Bacteria; Pseudomonadati; Pseudomonadota; Gammaproteobacteria; Enterobacterales; Enterobacteriaceae.